CCCUUAGAUGUUCUGGGCCGCACGCGCGCUACACUGAUGCAUUCAACGAGCCUAUCCUUGACCGACAGGUCCGGGUAAUCUUUGAAUCUGCAUCGUGACGGGGAUAGAUUAUUGCAAUUAUUAAUCUUCGACGAGGAAUUCCUAGUAAGCAUGUGUCAUCAGCCCGUGCUGAUUACGUCCCUGCCCUUUGUACACACCGCCCGUCGCUCCUAUCGAUUGAGUGAUCCGGUGAAUUAUUCGGACUGUAACGCAUUCAGUUCUGGAUGCAGUUACGGGAAGUUUUGUGAACCUUACCACUUAGAGGAAGGAGAAGUCGUAACA
Molecule: ribosomal RNA, 321 nt
Filed under: uncultured eukaryote
Lineage: Eukaryota
Description: partial 18S ribosomal RNA
Rfam family: Eukaryotic small subunit ribosomal RNA
Source: RNAcentral